UCACCACAACCAUUACUCUUUGAAGCUAAUACUAGUUCCUUGAUUUAUCUUCAAAGCUGUUUCCUUGUGUCUGGUGUUCUGCGAUGUCAUUAUGUUGUGUCUAAAUGCAGAUUUCUUUUAGUUCGCUUGGCAUUCAUUGGGCUUCUUGAAUAUGGGCUGAUGGUUUCUCAUCAGUCCUCACCCAUUAUCUCGUCAAACACCGCCUCUCCACAGUCUCUCCACUCCCACAGAAGCUCCAGUCACCUGCUCUUCAGGCUUUUCCCUGUGCCCUCCAUCACUGCUUUCAGACGGCUUCUUCUGCCCACCUCCUAAUUCAUUGAUGGGAUUUUUCUCUUCAGCCAGUCCUAAUUUACUUUUAAACUUUUCAAUUUUCUUUUUUUUUUUUCAUGUUUUUUCUAUUUUGAGAUGAUUGCUCAUUAUAUGGCCUGUCUCUGCCCACAGUGCUGGGAUUAAAUAUGUGUAUCUUCUA
RNAcentral lists this long non-coding RNA (469 nucleotides) under Rattus norvegicus (Norway rat). RNAcentral describes it as "long non-coding RNA NONRATT024870". The record is from RNAcentral. Lineage: Eukaryota; Metazoa; Chordata; Mammalia; Rodentia; Muridae.